RNAcentral lists this long non-coding RNA (1264 nucleotides) under Monodelphis domestica (gray short-tailed opossum). RNAcentral's name for it is "lncRNA (ENSMODG00000047501.1)". Lineage: Eukaryota; Metazoa; Chordata; Mammalia; Didelphimorphia; Didelphidae. The record is from RNAcentral.
GUGAAGUAAGAAAAUCAGAGAAAGGAUAAGGUAAGAUCUCAAGAGGUAAGUCUCUUCUGAGAUUAAUUUUUUUCCCAGAGAAUCCAGCAGUUAAGAGUCAGCUUUUCACUCACCAUGUGUCAGUUCAAAGGAAAAGAUUUUAUUUUAUUUAUUUAAAAAACAACCCUUACCUUCCGUCUUGGUUCCAAUACUGUGUAUUGGUCACACAGCUGGGAAGUGUCUAAGACCAGAUUUGAACCCAGGACCUCUCAUCUCUAGGCCUGGAUCUCAAUCCACUGAGCUACCAGCUGCCCCCCAAAGGAAAAGAUUUUAGAACAGUCUUGCCAGGAACAGGGUCUCAGAUCCAGCUUCCUCUUUGUGAAUUUUAAAACUAUUCCACCUUAAUCAGAGCAUUCUUUAGAAGAUCUGAUUUAGCUAUUUCCUGAUCAAUAACAAUGGAGAUACUUGGAAUAACAGAAUCAGGUCUUGGAAACUCUACAUUCUCCACCCUUCUUAGUUUAACAAGAUUAGGAAGGUCUGCAUCAAACUCAAGAUUUAAUUAUCUGAGGAAAUGGCCUUUAACAGACAUGUUAAAAAAAAAAAAAGGACAGACCUCUGGGCUGUCCUAAGUCAAGCUAAGUCAUCAUUGGUACAGCUGAGAUGCAGGAAAGUGAUGUAAAACUGUCUAUAUAAGGCAUAUCACUUCCUGUCUCUUCCUCUUUCCCCAGAGAGAUGACUCUGGCUGGCAGUGUGCUAGGAGCUCUGACAUCUUGGCAUGGUGGUGACUAUUGUCUGAGUUCGGUGGACUAUAUUUGUCUCAAAAAAGCAUCAAGGUGGCACAAUGGAGCACUGGGUUUGGAGUCAAGAAGACCUAAAUUCAAAUCUACCUCAGACACUUAUCAACUGUAUGACUCUAUGUAAGUCCCUUAACAAUUGUUUCUCUCAGUUUCCUCAUCUGUUAAAUGAGGUUAAUAAUAGUACCUAUCUUUCAGGGUUGUUGUGAAGAUUGAAUGAGAUAGUAAUUGUAAAGUGCAUAGUACAGUUUUGGCACAUAAUGGGUGGUAUAAUUUGAAAUCUGGUACUGCUAGAUUGUUUUCCUUCAUUUUCUUUUCCUUGAUCCCUUGAUAUUCUUAAACUUUUGUUCUUCCAGAUGAAUUUUAUUAUUCUUUUCUAGUUCUACAAAAUAAUUCUUUGGCCCUUUGAUUAGUAUAGUAUUGAAUAAGUAAAUUGCCAUUUUUAAAAUAUUGGCUCAGCCUACUCAUGAACAAAUAAUAUUUCUCAAUUU